GAAAGAAGGAUCCGGACUGGAGAAAGAAAUCUUAGAGCUAGUGGCGCUAGGAAGGGCUGGGGAUGAAAGGGUCAUGCUGGAGUGGGAAGAGCUUUCUGGACAGGAGGGAUGACCGGCAGGAAGCUCGGCAUUUGGCAAGACAGAGAAGUUCCUGGAGCUGGCGUUUCAGAGGACUCCAGCUCUGCACAGAAAUAGGGUGAUAACUGGUGACUCUGAAAAGAAGGUGUCAGUGGUACCAGGGGCUUUGCUACUGCCUCUUGCUCAAAUGGUCUCUUCAUCUUUUCUUCCCUACAGCACCUCUCCAGAGACUACCCUUGAUCCUACAUCCCCACCUCUGUCCUCUCCUUUGCUCUCACCGGUUAUUGGCCAGUCAGGACUUCUCCGGGAUUUCUUGCGGCUGAUGCGGUGAGCAGGACUGAGCUGGGAGGGCACCAAGCAUCGGACUCUCGCGUCCCAGGCUGGGGCCRCGCGGGUUUGGGAAAGCGGAGGACUAAGCUGCAGAGCAGGGGUCAAGACUCCCGGCGGUGACAGCCGGCRCACUGCUCAUCCCACUGCUUCUUUCAUUUGAAAUUGUUGCAGGUACUUCACCUUGCUGGAAUUGAGCUUCUUUUAAUGCGAGCUUUUUCUCUACACUAGGCUUGCCUUGCUCCUCUGUAGCGGAUUCCCUGUCAGUAUGCUGUGCACCUGGUUCCCUGUUAGUAUUUACUAAAUGCUAUAUUGAAACAGGAUCCUAAGUUUAAACUCCCACCUUAUUUAAAUCCCUGUUUAGAAUUAUCAGAGUAAAUCAUAAUUUUCCUACUGGAGGUUAAUUAAUUCUUGUCCAUUGUUUUUGCUUCUAACAGCUAAGUUUUGCUAUCUGGUUUUAAUCUCGCGCUUCCUUUUAAUUAUGCUCACCUUACCCUAUAAUCAUUGCUAGGGUAAAGUAGAAAAAUGAG
This 935-nucleotide long non-coding RNA is filed under the name Dromaius novaehollandiae (emu). RNAcentral's name for it is "lncRNA (ENSDNVG00000010529.1)". Lineage: Eukaryota; Metazoa; Chordata; Aves; Casuariiformes; Dromaiidae. The record is from RNAcentral.